Molecule: non-coding RNA, 1069 nt
Organism: Podarcis lilfordi (Lilford's wall lizard)
Lineage: Eukaryota; Metazoa; Chordata; Lepidosauria; Squamata; Lacertidae
Source: the annotation of a GenBank genome assembly
AGCAGCAUGCUUGUGGUUUUCCUUGCAGAGUAAGUUUCCCUGCUCCACAAGUAAUCGCCUCCACACACCUUCUCGGUGGAGAGACGGAAGGAGAAAACCAAACGACCCAUUGGAAUGGGAGAAAGAAAGCAGAACAGAUGCAAUGGGUGCGGCCGGGGAGUGUUCUCCUUGGCAUCAGCUGAGGCCACCCUCAGCGCUUGAGUUACUGCGGGGUUGGUGGCCGUGGUCACAGGACAGGGGAGGCUCUGAGGCAGCUGCUGAGUCACGCAGAGCCACUUGGCUGCAUGCGGGGGGGGGCGGGGGCUGUUUCGCACAGCUCCAUCCCCUCCUGAAGUGUUUUUGCCUAGUGGAAAAAACUGUCAACUGUGACCGUGCUUGACUGGACAGAGAGGGACUUUGUGUGUGAGCCGAAACCUCUGAGUUUUGGAGGGCCUGGACUGUCGCCUACCAUAGAAAGGUAGGAGUCACACCUGCUGCCCAACCUACCACUGCCAUCCCCCUGCCCCAAAGUCCCCCUUCUCCAAUAGAAUGGUUCAAAACCUGUGGGGCACUGGAAGAUCACUACAGCAAGUCCAGACUUGGGGGGGGGGAGGUUGACCUUCAAGAGGCCAGUUCCCUCUGGUUUCCCCAGCACAGCACAAGUAACCAAAGAGAAAAGCUGCUGCAGCUGGAGCAACUGAGCCCCUGACCCUGGAGCAGUCAAGCUUUCCACCCACCUCCUCCCUGCAACUCCUAGCUGUUUUGCUCCUGGAUCAGGGCCAAGCAGGCCCACCAAGUCCAGCAAUCUGUUCUCUUGCUGGCCAGCCAGAUUCCCCCACAGGGGAACAAGCAAGCAGCCCCCAGGCACCAGAGCCCAUCUCCCUGGUGUGGCUUCCUGCAAGUGGCCUUCAGAAGCCUCGCUGACCUUGGCUUCCCCGCACCUCACAGGCAAUGCUGGACGAGCUUCGCUGUCGAGGAACAUUGCUGCCCAAGUGCCAACAAGACAGGGGAGGGAGGCCCUGCCCAGACCAUUCCCAUUCACUGGAGCAUGUGCAGAGGGCAACUAAGAUGAACUGUUAGGUACGCUGAC